Molecule: ribosomal RNA, 435 nt
Filed under: uncultured bacterium
Lineage: Bacteria
Description: bacterial SSU rRNA
Rfam family: Bacterial small subunit ribosomal RNA
Source: RNAcentral
UGAGGAAUAUUGGUCAAUGGGCGAGAGCCUGAACCAGCCAAGUAGCGUGCAGGAUGACGGCCCUAUGGGUUGUAAACUGCUUUUAUACGGGGAUAAAGUUGGGACGUGGUCCCCAUUUGCUAGGUACCGUAUGAAUAAGGACCGGCUAAUUCCGUGCCAGCAGCCGCGGUAAUACGGAAGGUCCGGGCGUUAUCCGGAUUUAUUGGGUUUAAAGGGAGCGUAGGCCGGAGAUUAAGCGUGUUGUGAAAUGUAGACGCUCAACGUCUGAAUUGCAGCGCGAACUGGUUUCCUUGAGUACGUAGGAAGUUGGCGGAAUUCGUGGUGUAGCGGUGAAAUGCUUAGAUAUCACGAAGAACUCCGAUUGCGAAGGCAGCUGACUGUAUCGUAACUGACGCUGAAGCUCGAAAGUGUGGGUAUCGAACAGGAUUAGAUACC